GGGGUCAUCCAUAAUUGUCAACCAUUUUCCAAAGUGUACAAAACGUACACUUGGGGGGAGGGGGUUAAAAAAUCAACAUUUUUACCGUACGCUUUUUUUUUUAUUUCCGGAAUUUAUAUCGUUUCCGUAGGGAAAGUCGAUUUAUAAAAUCGAGAAUUGGCUUGGGCGUGUUUCUCUUCUUAUUUCUUCUUUAUUAUUUUCACUUUGAUGAUAUUGAUUUCGAUAUCAUAAUUCUACUCAAUCGGGAUUGAACGAUUAAAAGAUCAAAUCAUAUGAAAACGAAAUCUUUCAAAAAUGUGAACUAGUAAAAUUAUUUUAACAAAAAGUUUGCAAGCAUUUCUCAGUACCCCCGAUUUUCAAUUCACCUGCUUUAUUAUUGAUCGAUAUCGUUUUACUCUGUUUAAUAAACAAAAUUGAUUGAAACACUAAAUUCUUUGAAUGUUUUGAUUUUGACAAGACCCCAUUUUGUGAAAAGAUUUUAAACUGGUCCUUCGAUUAAUUUCCUUGUAAUGCAUUCCAAAAUAGUAAACCAGUAAACCGGAAGUAAACUUAUUUUCUUAGUAAAAGCCUCCUUCAAUAGGAGGACCUCCAUAUGAAGUUUAACCUUAACUUAGAAAAUAUCCAAUAUAUGUACACGUUACAGUAUAUAUACAUAAACGAUAAUAGUGCCAUGAAUGGCAUAUUUACAGGGACCAUUUAAAUAGAAAUACAGGCGGGAAAUUUAAAAACUCAAAAUGUUUUAAAACAUUACACUUUUAUUGAUUGCUGUC
This 770-nucleotide long non-coding RNA is filed under the name Mytilus galloprovincialis (Mediterranean mussel). Lineage: Eukaryota; Metazoa; Mollusca; Bivalvia; Mytilida; Mytilidae. The record is from RNAcentral.